RNAcentral lists this ribosomal RNA (510 nucleotides) under uncultured bacterium. RNAcentral describes it as "bacterial SSU rRNA". It matches the Rfam family "Bacterial small subunit ribosomal RNA", at positions 36 to 518 of the family's 1533-position model. The record is from RNAcentral.
CUGGCGGCGUGCCUAAUACAUGCAAGUCGAACGGUCUUUCUAUGGAAGCUUGCUUCCACUGAGAAGAUAGUGGCGAACGGGUGAGUAACACGUGGGGUAACCUGCCCAUAAGAGGGGGAUAACAUCCGGAAACGGGUGCUAAUACCGCAUAGUUUUCUUGAUCGCAUGAUCGGGAAAGGAAAGACGGCCUUUGUGCUGUCGCUUAUGGAUGGACCCGCGGCGUAUUAGUUAGUUGGUGAGGUAACGGCUCACCAAGACGAUGAUACGUAGCCGACCUGAGAGGGUGAUCAGCCACAUUGGGACUGAGACACGGCCCAAACUCCUACGGGAGGCAGCAGUAGGGAAUCUUCCGCAAUGGACGAAAGUCUGACGGAGCAACGCCGCGUGAGUGAAGAAAGGUUUUCGGAUCGUAAAACUCUGUUGUCAGAGAAGAACAAGUUGGAGAGUAACUGCUCCAGCCUUGACGGUAUCUGACCAGAAAGCCACGGCUAACUACGUGCCAGCCGCAGC